GUGCCAUCAGUACUGGCCAGCAGAGCGAUCAGCCAGGUACCAGUACUUUGUAGUGCCCCCUGGCCGAGUACAACAUGCCCCAGUACAUCUACGAGAGUUCAAAGUACCGAUGCCAGGGACGGCCAGUCUCGACGGUUCGUCAGUUCCAGUUCACUGAUUGGCCGGAGCAAGGAGUGCAAAAUCAGGGGAGGGGUUCAUUGAUUUCAUUGGCCAGGUGCACAAACUAAAGAGCAGUUUGGCCAGGACGGACCAAUCACGGUGCACUGUAGUGCUGGUGUGGGGAGGACAGGGGUCUUCAUCACUCUGAGUAUCGUUCUGGAGAGGAUGAGAUAUGAAGGAGUAGUGGACAUCUUCCAGACUGUSAAGAUGCUGCGAACACAGAGACCUGCMACAGUUCAGACUGAGGACCAGUACCAGUUCUGUUACCGGGCCGGUCUGGAGUAUCUGGGUAGCUUCGACCACUAUGCAACAUAAUACCUCCCUCUGGCCGCGUCCCAUACAACACCCUAACUCCCUGUGUAGUGCACUACUUUAGACCACAGUGUAUUCUCACUUCUUUGGCCCAGUGUGUACACUCAAAAGUAGUGCACUACUGGUUAGUGCACUACACAGGUAAUAGGGGCCAUUUGAGAUUAGGCCUCCACCACCUCCAGAGGGCAGGGCACCAUGGCUCACUCCGCCCCCAAAACGAGCACCUAAACUGAGCCAUAUUUGCGUGUCUGACCGGGGGAUACCUCCAGACCUAACCCAAACCCACUCACUACUCACUCAGAAGUGCACUACUUUGUGCACUAUGUAGGGAAUAGGGUGCCAUUUUUGGACGCAAACUGACACUACUUAACAACGGAUUGAGGAUUCAACGAUUGAUAACGGAACAAGUCUUUACAUGGUAAGGAAGACAGUUAGGGAACUCACGUCAUUCACAGUGGAACAAGUCUUUACAUGGUAAAG
Molecule: long non-coding RNA, 951 nt
Organism: Salvelinus sp. IW2-2015
Lineage: Eukaryota; Metazoa; Chordata; Actinopteri; Salmoniformes; Salmonidae
Source: RefSeq, a predicted model, not a curated record